Molecule: ribosomal RNA, 108 nt
Filed under: Castor canadensis (American beaver)
Lineage: Eukaryota; Metazoa; Chordata; Mammalia; Rodentia; Castoridae
Source: RNAcentral
GUCUACAAUUGUACCUCCCUGAAUGCUUCUGAUCUCAUCUCAGAAGCUAAACAGGGUUGAGCCUGGUUAGUAUUUGAAUGGGAGAAUAUAAUCCUGUUUUUCUUAAUG